RNAcentral lists this ribosomal RNA (222 nucleotides) under uncultured organism. RNAcentral's name for it is "partial 26S ribosomal RNA". It matches the Rfam family "Eukaryotic large subunit ribosomal RNA", at positions 37 to 259 of the family's 3401-position model. The record is from RNAcentral.
UGCAUAUCUAUUUAAAGCGGAGGAAAAGAAAAUAACAAUGAUUACCUCAGUAGCGGCGAGUGAAGAGGUAAAAGCCCAAGAUGUUAAUCUGUGUUAAAGACAUAGAAUUGUAAUCUAUGGAGUCAAUCAGAAAGCGGAAGCCUGCCAUAAGUCCCUUGGAAUAGGGUGCCAGAGAGGGUGAAAGCCCCGUCUUCGGGUAGGACGAAGCAAUACAAAGAUUCU